This 501-nucleotide ribosomal RNA is filed under the name uncultured bacterium. RNAcentral describes it as "partial 16S ribosomal RNA". It matches the Rfam family "Bacterial small subunit ribosomal RNA", at positions 30 to 523 of the family's 1533-position model. The record is from RNAcentral.
AUUGAACGCUGGCGGCGGGCUUAACACAUGCAAGUCGAGCGGGGGAAGGUAGCUUGCUACCGGACCUAGCGGCGGACGGGUGAGUAAUGCUUAGGAAUCUGCCUAUUAGUGGGGGACAACGUCUCGAAAGGGAUGCUAAUACCGCAUACGUCCUACGGGAGAAAGCAGGGGAUCUUCGGACCUUGCGCUAAUAGAUGAGCCUAAGUCGGAUUAGCUAGUUGGUGGGGUAAAGGCCUACCAAGGCGACGAUCUGUAGCGGGUCUGAGAGGAUGAUCCGCCACACUGGGACUGAGACACGGCCCAGACUCCUACGGGAGGCAGCAGUGGGGAAUAUUGGACAAUGGGGGGAACCCUGAUCCAGCCAUGCCGCGUGUGUGAAGAAGGCCUUAUGGUUGUAAAGCACUUUAAGCGAGGAGGAGGCUACUUUAGUUAAUACCUAGAGAUAGUGGACGUUACUCGCAGAAUAAGCACCGGCUAACUCUGUGCCAGCCGCCGCAGUAA